GUGACCGUGGACAGGCCUCACCUCCCAGUCUGUGACCGUGGACAGGCCUCGGUUUCCCCGCUGCCCAGCGAGUGAAGGCAUCCGAUGGAUUGCUGCAAGGGCUACAGGAGUUAAAACGCAGGAAGCACUCUGCACAGGGCGGUGCUCAGGAUCUUCAGCUUCACGCUGAAUCCGAAACCCACAGCUGCGGCCACACCUCGGAUCCAGUCAUCAGGGGAGUGGAUGCCACUGCGCAGGUUGGGCUGGUUCCUCCUUCUGCGUCUUGGUUCUACAGCUCCCGAGUUCAGCUCCCUCGUGUUAGCUUUCUCGCCGUUAGCAUGAAACACCUGAGAGAACACACUGAAGCCCUAGCCGGUGUGGCUCAGUGGAUAGAGCGUCGGCCUGCGGACUGAAGGGUCCAGGGUUCGAUUCCGGUCUAGAGCACGUGCCUGGGUUGCGGGCUCCAUCCCCAGUGGAGUGCAUGCAGGAGGCAGCCGAUUAAUGAUUCUCAUUAAUGUUUCUAUCUCUCUCUCCCUUCCUUUCUGAAAUCAAUAAAAAUAUAUUUAAAAAAAAAAACCCAAACAAAACAAAACACACUGAAAUGACAACCUCAGCAGUGAGUCGGAGGCGGCCGCUCGCAGACGGCAAAGCCUUGGUGACCUACUAGCCCCCGUUCGCCGAACAGAACUGCACGUGUGUCAUCAGUUCAACAUACGUCUCAGGGUGAGGCCGUGCCGACCACACUGCGAUCUACGCAGUCGAGUGAGUUUGAGAUGAAAUAGGAACUUAAGUCAGGUUGAAACUGGAUUUCCAAGCCAGACACCAGGAAAAACCCAGCUCAUCACAACUAAGCUAAGGACACGAGGACUCCGCUGCAAACAUUUCACUGAAGAGAAUAGAUACGCGGAAGCACAGGCCACGGUGCAACUGGGAAACGCUCACAGACGGAACGCAGCCACGUAACUGGCACCCCGAUCGGGGACCAGCACGCGACCAGCACCCCAAAGGCCCCGCAUUACGGGGAGGCCACUGGUGACCCCCAUCCUGACGUCUCCCCGCAGCUUCACGGCUCUCACGGUAAAGUCGGGAAGCUUCCCAGUGUUGUCAGCGGUCGCUCGCUGUGUUUCAUCUCGCUCGGUGACUGUCGAGAGCAGAGCUCAGGUGAGACACGCCGCUCUGCGCAGAGGUUAAACCCAGGUGAGGAGUCCAGCUCCUCCUCCCUCUGACCUCUGGGAGCCCGGCCAGGGGCCUGGCCUGGUGACCUUGCCUAGGAGGGCCGGCCCUGGCUGCAGCCUGGAGUGGCCGGCUGGCUCCAGAACCCCCUCCCCGGGAUUUGGACCCCCUCCCCGGGAUUUGGACCCCCUCCCCCCGGGAGCCCGGACACUCGCUCUGUUAACUCUGACACACGAAUGCAGAGGCAGGUGCUCAUCUCAGUUGACUCUCAUCUGAAAGAACUCGAUUCAGUGACAAAGCAGAUUCAGUGACAAGCAGGCUCCUGCCUGGAGCCCGUAGGUCCAGAGAGCCAGGCAGGUGAGAACAAUGUUCCUUCUGUGGACGGCGCCCGGUGGCCGGCCCUGCCUGGGCUGAUGGGGCAGCACUCGCUGCGCUGGAGGACGGCUCAGGCAGGGGU
Molecule: long non-coding RNA, 1609 nt
Organism: Myotis lucifugus (little brown bat)
Lineage: Eukaryota; Metazoa; Chordata; Mammalia; Chiroptera; Vespertilionidae
Exons: 3
Source: RefSeq, a predicted model, not a curated record